This 426-nucleotide ribosomal RNA is filed under the name uncultured bacterium. RNAcentral describes it as "bacterial SSU rRNA". It matches the Rfam family "Bacterial small subunit ribosomal RNA", at positions 8 to 416 of the family's 1533-position model. The record is from RNAcentral.
AGANUUUGAUCNNGGCUCAGAUUGAACGCUGNCGGCAGGCCUANCACAUGCAAGUCGAGCGGUAACAUUCCUAGCUUGCUAGGAGAUGACGAGCGGCGGACGGGUGAGUAACGCGUGGGAAUUUGCCCAGUAGUGGGGGAUAGCCCGGGGAAACCCGGAUUAAUACCGCAUACGUCCUCUNUUUUUCGGAAGAGGGGAGAAAGCAGGGGACUCUUCGGAGCCUUGCGCUAUUGGAUAAGCCUGCGUCGGAUUAGCUGGUUGGUGGGGUAAAGGCCUACCAAGGCGACGAUCCGUAGCUGGUCUGAGAGGAUGAUCAGCCACACUGGGANUGAGACACGGCCCAGACUCCUACGGGAGGCAGCAGUGGGGAAUAUUGCACAAUGGGCGCAAGCNUGAUGCAGCCAUGCCGCGUGUGUGAAGAAGGCU